AUACAUUUAGCAUAAUUAAUGUUUCAAAUUUCCAAUUUGAGUAUCUAAGUAAUUCUUAGAAUGUAUA
Molecule: transfer RNA, 67 nt
Filed under: Benedenia hoshinai
Lineage: Eukaryota; Metazoa; Platyhelminthes; Monogenea; Capsalidea; Capsalidae
Description: tRNA-Gly
Source: RNAcentral